Molecule: transfer RNA, 72 nt
Filed under: Camelus bactrianus (Bactrian camel)
Lineage: Eukaryota; Metazoa; Chordata; Mammalia; Artiodactyla; Camelidae
Also listed under: 1 other name
Rfam family: tRNA
About the family: Transfer RNA (tRNA) molecules are approximately 80 nucleotides in length. Their secondary structure includes four short double-helical elements and three loops (D, anti-codon, and T loops).
Source: Rfam by way of RNAcentral
AGGGGUUCAGCUCAGGGGUAAAGUGCCCGCUUAGCAUGCGUGAGGUCCUGGGUUCAAUCCCCAGUACCUCCU